GGGCAUCUUCUUGUUUUUAAAAGACCUAGCAAUAGGUAUGCUUAGGGAGGAGCUUGCGUCACAUUAGUUAGUUGGUGGGGUAAAGGCCUACCAAGACUAUGAUGUGUAGCCGGGCUGAGAGGUUGAACGGCCACAUUGGGACUGAGACACGGCCCAAACUCCUACGGGAGGCAGCAGUAGGGAAUUUUCGGCAAUGGAGGAAACUCUGACCGAGCAACGCCGCGUGAACGAUGAAGUAUUUCGGUACGUAAAGUUCUUUUAUUAGGGAAGAAUAAAUGAUGGAAAAAUCAUUCUGACGGUACCUAAUGAAUAAGCCCCGGCUAACUAUGUGCCAGCAGCCGCGGUAAUACAUAGGGGGCAAGCGUUAUCCGGAAUUAUUGGGCGUAAAGGGUGCGUAGGCGGUUAAAUAAGUUUAUGGUCUAAGUGCAAUGCUCAACAUUGUGAUGCUAUAAAAACUGUUUAGCUAGAGUAAGAUAGAGGCAAGUGGAAUUCCAUGUGUAGUGGUAAAAUGCGUAAAUAUAUGGAGGAACACCAGUAGCGAAGGCGGCUUGCUGGGUCUUUACUGACGCUGAGGCACGAAAGCGUGGGGAGCAAACAGGAUUAGAUACCCUGGUAGUCCACGCCGUAAACGAUGAGUACUAAACGUUGGGUAAAACCAGUGUUGAAGUUAACACAUUAAGUACUCCGCCUGAGUAGUACGUACGCAAGUAUGAAACUUAAAGGAAUUGACGGGACUCCGCACAAGCGGUGGAUCAUGUUGUUUAAUUCGAAGGUACCCGAAAAACCUCACCAGGUCUUGACAUGCUUCUGCAAAGCUGUAGAAACACAGUGGAGGUUAUCAGUUGCACAGGUGGUGCAUGGUUGUCGUCAGCUCGUGUCGUGAGAUGUUGGGUUAAGUCCCGCAACGAGCGCAACCCUUAUUGUUAGUUACCAGCACGUAAUGGUGGGGACUUUAGCAAGACUGCCAGUGAUAAAUUGGAGGAAGGUGGGGACGACGUCAAAUCAUCAUGCCCCUUAUGACCUGGGCUACAAACGUGAUACAAUGGCUGUUACAAAGGGUAGCUGAAGCGCAAGUUUUUGGCGAAUCUCAAAAAAACAGUCUCAGUUCGGAUUGAAGUCUGCAACUCGACUUCAUGAAGUUGGAAUCGCUAGUAAUCGCGAAUCAGCAUGUCGCGGUGAAUACGUUCUCGGGGUUUGUACACACCGCCCGUC
RNAcentral lists this ribosomal RNA (1212 nucleotides) under 'Acalypha indica' phytoplasma. Its description in RNAcentral is "bacterial SSU rRNA". It matches the Rfam family "Bacterial small subunit ribosomal RNA", at positions 186 to 1398 of the family's 1533-position model. The record is from RNAcentral. Lineage: Bacteria; Bacillati; Mycoplasmatota; Mollicutes; Acholeplasmatales; Acholeplasmataceae.